RNAcentral lists this ribosomal RNA (1556 nucleotides) under Escherichia coli. RNAcentral describes it as "bacterial SSU rRNA". It matches the Rfam family "Bacterial small subunit ribosomal RNA". Lineage: Bacteria; Pseudomonadati; Pseudomonadota; Gammaproteobacteria; Enterobacterales; Enterobacteriaceae. The record is from RNAcentral.
UUAAAUUGAAGAGUUUGAUCAUGGCUCAGAUUGAACGCUGGCGGCAGGCCUAACACAUGCAAGUCGAACGGUAACAGGAAGAAGCUUGCUGCUUCGCUGACGAGUGGCGGACGGGUGAGUAAUGUCUGGGAAACUGCCUGAUGGAGGGGGAUAACUACUGGAAACGGUAGCUAAUACCGCAUAACGUCGCAAGACCAAAGAGGGGGACCUUCGGGCCUCUUGCCAUCGGAUGUGCCCAGAUGGGAUUAGCUAGUAGGUGGGGUAACGGCUCACCUAGGCGACGAUCCCUAGCUGGUCUGAGAGGAUGACCAGCCACACUGGAACUGAGACACGGUCCAGACUCCUACGGGAGGCAGCAGUGGGGAAUAUUGCACAAUGGGCGCAAGCCUGAUGCAGCCAUGCCGCGUGUAUGAAGAAGGCCUUCGGGUUGUAAAGUACUUUCAGCGGGGAGGAAGGGAGUAAAGUUAAUACCUUUGCUCAUUGACGUUACCCGCAGAAGAAGCACCGGCUAACUCCGUGCCAGCAGCCGCGGUAAUACGGAGGGUGCAAGCGUUAAUCGGAAUUACUGGGCGUAAAGCGCACGCAGGCGGUUUGUUAAGUCAGAUGUGAAAUCCCCGGGCUCAACCUGGGAACUGCAUCUGAUACUGGCAAGCUUGAGUCUCGUAGAGGGGGGUAGAAUUCCAGGUGUAGCGGUGAAAUGCGUAGAGAUCUGGAGGAAUACCGGUGGCGAAGGCGGCCCCCUGGACGAAGACUGACGCUCAGGUGCGAAAGCGUGGGGAGCAAACAGGAUUAGAUACCCUGGUAGUCCACGCCGUAAACGAUGUCGACUUGGAGGUUGUGCCCUUGAGGCGUGGCUUCCGGAGCUAACGCGUUAAGUCGACCGCCUGGGGAGUACGGCCGCAAGGUUAAAACUCAAAUGAAUUGACGGGGGCCCGCACAAGCGGUGGAGCAUGUGGUUUAAUUCGAUGCAACGCGAAGAACCUUACCUGGUCUUGACAUCCACGGAAGUUUUCAGAGAUGAGAAUGUGCCUUCGGGAACCGUGAGACAGGUGCUGCAUGGCUGUCGUCAGCUCGUGUUGUGAAAUGUUGGGUUAAGUCCCGCAACGAGCGCAACCCUUAUCCUUUGUUGCCAGCGGUCCGGCCGGGAACUCAAAGGAGACUGCCAGUGAUAAACUGGAGGAAGGUGGGGAUGACGUCAAGUCAUCAUGGCCCUUACGACCAGGGCUACACACGUGCUACAAUGGCGCAUACAAAGAGAAGCGACCUCGCGAGAGCAAGCGGACCUCAUAAAGUGCGUCGUAGUCCGGAUUGGAGUCUGCAACUCGACUCCAUGAAGUCGGAAUCGCUAGUAAUCGUGGAUCAGAAUGCCACGGUGAAUACGUUCCCGGGCCUUGUACACACCGCCCGUCACACCAUGGGAGUGGGUUGCAAAAGAAGUAGGUAGCUUAACCUUCGGGAGGGCGCUUACCACUUUGUGAUUCAUGACUGGGGUGAAGUCGUAACAAGGUAACCGUAGGGGAACCUGCGGUUGGAUCACCUCCUUACCUUAAAGAAGC